Molecule: long non-coding RNA, 3716 nt
Organism: Camelus dromedarius (Arabian camel)
Lineage: Eukaryota; Metazoa; Chordata; Mammalia; Artiodactyla; Camelidae
Exons: 5
Source: RefSeq, a predicted model, not a curated record
CCAUCUGUGAGCACCGGGCUUUGGUCUGGUUGGGGUUGCAGGUCAGGCACCUCUCACGUGCCGACACCCUGAAUCCACCAACGCCCCAGCCUCCCUGCAGGACUGUGGCCCCAGGGCAGAUGAAGGCAGGCUGGACCCGGGCGCAGUGGGGGCCCCGCACCCACUCCUGACCCUGGAUCACCGCACAGGCGGCACCCGGCCGGCUCUGUGCCCCCAUCCGCACAGGAACCACCCAGGGCCAGCCGCCCAGCAGGGAGGAGGCCCCACAGCCAGCUGCCUCGGCAGAGCCAUCCCAGAUCCUGGGCAGACCCGGCCCCAGCCAGCCUCUGCGGGGUUCAGGAGCGGCGCACCCCACAGGGGCCAGGCUCUGGGGGUCCCGGUGGGUCCAGGCAGGAGCCCAAGGCUCCAGGGGCUGCAGCCCCCUCCUCGUUUCUCAGCGUGCCCUCCAGGAAGGGGCUGCAGACUCGGCAGGGUGGGCGACCUGGCCUGGGCGAGCUCGUCCACCGGCGGGUCGGCCCGCACGCCGCUGCCUGAUGCCUGCCGACCCCAAGCCACCAAGGAAGUGGGGGCCGGGGGGAGGAGGACGUGGGGUGGCGACACGCUCGCAGGGGGCGGUGGUGCCGUGCUGACCGUGACGACAGAGGACAUCCGGGUGCCAUCUUGUCCCUGUUCCUGUCGCACGCCCGUGAAGGUUAUAAACGCAGACUCACAAGCAGGUCCCCAUCAUGUGGCGGUUUGUGACGGCACCUCCAGGAGCCCCCAGGGUUACCAGGGACAGGGGAGCAGUGCGGGGCAGGCCUGUGGGAGCGGCAAGCCCCCCGAGCAGAGCUUUCCCGAGCCGUCAGGGCGCACUGAGGGGGCUCUGCCCAGGGUCUCGGAGGCAUAGACUGCCUUCUGCUGACGCCUCCUCCUCCAAGGAAAAUAAAGCCUUCUUUGUUCCCUGUAACACCGCAGGUGCGAUGCCCCUCCCGGCCCCAGCCCUGCUCCUGCCUUCCCAGCACCCAGGGCUCUGAGGCUGCACUCGGGCCAGGGGCCGUGGUCUCCCGGGCCUGGAGUGGAGUCGGCCUCAGGAGUUGGGAAAGCUCUCAGAACUCAGGCAGCUGGACCGGCCCAAACCUGGAAGGGGACAGUCCUUCUCGGCCCAGAGCCGCUGGGGUGGACGCCGGAGACAGGUGUCCACUCUAACUGCCCUUCCUGGAGCAGCCUGGACAGCGGCUUGCGUCCACCACCGCCUCGGCCCAGACUGUCCAACAAAGACGAGCCUUUUGCCUAGUUAACAGCCCUUCUUCUUCCAGAUAAAAGUUGAAAAUGGGUAUUCCUCUAAGCUUCAAAAUUACAAGAGCUGUGAUCUGCAGGAAGUUAUACAAGUGAGCAUCGGGCCGCUUAAGGCAGCUUGUUCCACUGGGGCGCCAGGCACUGCCCCCCCGUCCUGACCCCGCGUCACUUGGGCCGCUCCCCCCACCCCCGCAUGGCUGGACGUGGUCCUGGGCGGAGGGUGGAGGGUGGCUGCUCCCACGCCGCAUCCCACUGGAGGAGAAGGACCAGGGUAUGCGUCCCUCCACACCGCCUCCUUCCGGGGGUCGCUGCUCAGACCAGUCCCCACGCGUGCAGCCCAAGGAAAUCAACUGACGGUUAACACCAGCGUCACCGAAGAGAGGACAGGCUGCAGGGGGCACUGCAGGUGGGCUGCAGACCAGUUCCCUCUGAAACGUCCUGUCUCAGAGGACGUCGUGGUCUGCAAUGCCCCCACAUCGUCCUGGCUUAGAGGGCACCCCCAGAAGAGCCGGAGGCCCCAACAUGACCCACACUGGGCGCCACCCAGCCCAGGCCACCACCUGCUGCAACACUUGGUCAGAAAAAGGCUGAGGCAGACAGUCCGAGCUGCUCCCUCUGGGGGCCUGUCGCAGGGCAGGCUGAGCAGGAGGGACAAACCUCCCACUUGGACGUGUCACCGCCGGCCUGGGGUCAGAAGGGAAAAGCUCCUGGUCUCCAAGUGAGACAGCAGUUUCAGGAGCCGCUGCACCUGCGUCCUGCUCCCCGAGGCCAGUGUCAGGGGGCAGAAAGGCUGCCACGUCCUCUGGGUUCCCGAGUGCUCCCCCGGGACUGGGGUCCCCAGAGAGGGCCACCUCUCAGCGCCUCUCAGAGCCUCACAGCCACCCCGCGGCCAAUGCUUGUGACACUCAGCCACCGGCAAAGCCCAUGGGAGCCAGGCCUCAGGAACAGGCCCUGCUGUGGCCCCUCACGGGGUCGGCCCGCACCGCUCCCCCUGACCGGCCCUUCUCAAGUCAGCCCAGGACGGGAAGCCACAGAGGCCUCAGCCACAGGGCCUCCUCACAGGUGCUGGGACCAGGCCUGUGGGAUGAACCUGAAUCCAGCCUGGAUGCCGUCUAAGGCCAGGGCGUCGGAGACCCGCCCACCUCCAGGCAGACGCCUGGGCCCCUGGACGGCCCAGGGGAGGCCCCUCACAGCUCAGACGGCCUCCGCCUCCCUCAGGACCCGGAUGGUCCCAUUCACACCCGGCAGCCAAACUUCCUACCGACAUCUGAACAAAUUCAGCAUGUUUCUGCCUCCUGGUUCUUCUGCAAGACUCAGAGCUCAAAAGAAAUCAAACAUUAAAGAGAGUCCACGACCCCUUGCAGGACGCAACCGCUGGAGCUAUUUCCUUUGGCUGAACCGUCAAGUCAAGUUUCAAAGAGGAUUAACAUCUGUGAGGCUGCUGUUUUUCUCGAGAACCUUUUGGCGUUUUCUCACACAGUCCUUAUGGGAAGGGGGCCCAGGACCCACCAGGGGGCAUUUCUGGGGUGUCCUUAAUGCACGGUUGGCAUCUCUCUGGAAGUCGGGCGGGCAGCCGACGAGGUCAGUCUGAUCAGUGCAGUUUCCGUCCACGGAGACGUGAGCGAGCUGUGGGCAGGAGGGGGCAAGGCUGCAUCCUUCCCCGGAGGCACCUCGGGCGGGGCCCACGGGGCAGCACCGAGCCACCAGCCGGCAGAGAGGGGUCCUUCCCAGGUGACCUGCCCCAGGGCUGCUCAAGAAGGGUGACGCCCUGUCGCGGGCGCAGCAGGGCCUCCGGGGUGGGGGGUGCCUCAUGGGAGCCCACCCGGAGAUCCACCGGGUCGGCCAAGCUCACAGAGGCCCCUCUGGGCGCCCCCUCCAUCCCCAGGGCUCCAGGCCCGGCAGGCCGCCCUCCCACUCCGAGGCCGUGUCCCUCGGCGCGGGGGUCUGGAAGCAGAGUGGGCACCGGGCUCUUGGUCUGCGUCUGGUCCAAGUAAACCUGACAGCAACCCGACUGGACCAAACUCCCCAAGACAAGGGCGGGGUCCCCGAGGCCCUCCGUCACGCCUCCCCCCGGGGACCCGCAGGGCCAGUGGGGCAUCAUGGGCAGCCCUGUUUUCUCACCUUCCUCCAAGGCCCACCUCUGGCCCCUGCCGGCCCCGUGUUUGUGCUGGGCCUGUGUCUGAAACUGCUUCAAGUAACAAACACUGACAGCCCAGAGAGCCGCUGGGGCUCCCCCGGGUCUGAGGGAGAAUUCUGUGGGGCUCAGAAACGUCCCCAGCACAGCCGCUGGAGCCCUGGGAACACGACCAGCCUCUGGAGCACCGGGAGGCCUCCAUCAGACCGGGUCCCCCUCUCCUUGUGCCAUCAGGGCCUGGCCUCCAGCCCGGGUGGCCGCUGCGUGGGGUGGGUGCUGUGAGCAGCGUGAGCUGGGGGCGCCGCAC